AAAGACUCCUAAUGCCGAAAUCAUCAGAUUCAAGGGCAUUUUGAGGAAUUCCCAAUGAAGGACCCACCUUCGUAGGAAAGCACCUCUGUCUGAGAAGUUGCCCACAGCAUUCCUGCAACUGUUGUCACCAUAAAAACAUGGACAAGAAGCAGCUCUACCCACCUCUGUACUGUGGGAUGGAAGGUAUUUGAUGAAGCUGUUAGGACACAGUUGCUUAGAAACACAGAAUCAAAAUGGCUGAGCGAGACUAACGUUCUUCUUCAUUAUGCAUAAUGUGUGCAAUGGAUGCCUCAGCCCUUAUCCAUGGCACAGCCAAUCUUAACAUGGGAUCAGCUUGAGGUGGACACCUAAGGAAUGAGGUAGUUGGGUUAUACG
Peromyscus maniculatus bairdii (prairie deer mouse) is the source of this 375-nucleotide non-coding RNA. The record is from RefSeq and is a predicted model, not a curated record. NCBI's taxonomy places the organism in Eukaryota, Metazoa, Chordata, Mammalia, Rodentia, Cricetidae.